This 826-nucleotide ribosomal RNA is filed under the name Pseudoflavitalea sp. RNAcentral's name for it is "bacterial SSU rRNA". It matches the Rfam family "Bacterial small subunit ribosomal RNA", at positions 63 to 883 of the family's 1533-position model. The record is from RNAcentral. Lineage: Bacteria; Pseudomonadati; Bacteroidota; Chitinophagia; Chitinophagales; Chitinophagaceae.
CGAGGGGCAGCAUGACUGUAGCAAUACAGUUGAUGGCGACCGGCAAACGGGUGCGGAACACGUACGCAACCUUCCUUUAAGUGUGGGAUAGCCCGGGGAAACCCGGAUUAAUACCACGUAAUAUCAUGAGAUGGCAUCGUUUUAUGAUUAUAGCUCCGGCGCUUAAAGAUGGGCGUGCGCCUGAUUAGGUAGUUGGCGGGGUAAUGGCCCACCAAGCCUACGAUCAGUAACUGGUGUGAGAGCACGACCAGUCACACGGGCACUGAGACACGGGCCCGACUCCUACGGGAGGCAGCAGUAAGGAAUAUUGGUCAAUGGACGCAAGUCUGAACCAGCCAUGCCGCGUGGAGGAUGAAGGUCCUCUGGAUUGUAAACUUCUUUUAUCUGGGAAGAAACCUGUCUUUUCUUGGGCAGUUGACGGUACCAGGUGAAUAAGCACCGGCUAACUCCGUGCCAGCAGCCGCGGUAAUACGGAGGGUGCAAGCGUUAUCCGGAUUCACUGGGUUUAAAGGGUGCGUAGGUGGGCUAGUAAGUCCGUGGUGAAAUCUCUGAGCUUAACUCGGAAACUGCCGUGGAUACUAUUAGUCUUGAAUAUCGUGGAGGUAAGCGGAAUAUGUCAUGUAGCGGUGAAAUGCUUAGAUAUGACAUAGAACACCGAUAGCGAAGGCAGCUUGCUACACGAUCAUUGACACUGAGGCACGAAAGCGUGGGGAUCAAACAGGAUUAGAUACCCUGGUAGUCCACGCCCUAAACGAUGGAUACUCGACAUACGCGAUACACAGUGUGUGUCUGAGCGAAAGCAUUAAGUAUCCCACCUGGGAAGUAC